GCGACACUAGCUCAGUUGGUAGAGCGCAACCUUGCCAAGGUUGAGGUCACGAGUUCGAACCUCGUGUGUAGCUCCA
This 76-nucleotide transfer RNA is filed under the name Vibrio cholerae. RNAcentral's name for it is "tRNA-Gly". It matches the Rfam family "tRNA". Rfam says of the family: Transfer RNA (tRNA) molecules are approximately 80 nucleotides in length. Their secondary structure includes four short double-helical elements and three loops (D, anti-codon, and T loops). The record is from RNAcentral. RNAcentral also lists the same sequence under 1 other name. Lineage: Bacteria; Pseudomonadati; Pseudomonadota; Gammaproteobacteria; Vibrionales; Vibrionaceae.